Molecule: long non-coding RNA, 1714 nt
Organism: Rosa rugosa (rugosa rose)
Lineage: Eukaryota; Viridiplantae; Streptophyta; Magnoliopsida; Rosales; Rosaceae
Exons: 4
Source: RefSeq, a predicted model, not a curated record
AAAUAAAUUUCAAAUAGUUGUUCUGUCUUUGCCUCCUCAGAAGUGUUUGGUAACCCAACUUAUCAUUAGCUUUUUCCAGAAGCUGCUACGCCUUCCGUCGAAAAGCAGAAGCGGCCUCACCCCCUCCUUUUAGAAGCCAGAAGCUGGGAGAUCACUGUGGCACUGGUGACUGUAAAUUAAUGAAAUUUCGAUAAUACCAGGCUCUACCCUCCCUUGGUUGAAGCAAUUACUCGAUUGCCAUGAAACCCUCUUCUCUUUGAUUGAUAUCUAGACGCCGCAUCAAUCUCUCUCCCUCUGACGCCUCCUCACCUGCCUCUCAUCAGGAUUUCGGGUUGGAAAUCGAAGGCUGCGUUUGGGGGGGGGGGGGGGGGGGGGUUCUUUUUAGCUCCCCUGCUUAUAAGCACAAGACCUUUGGUAACCCAGCUUCUUGUCUGCUUUUUCAAGAAGCAGUGGCUUCUUUCGACAACUGAAGCCGCCUCACCCCUGCUUUUAAUGAGUCUUUUGAAAUACUAAUGGGUACGUACCCUCAUGGAUUAAGAGUAAUUACGGCCCAAUACCAUUCGUGAAAACGCUGCUCUUCCAUUCGCGUCUUCUCCCUCAUCUCUGCCGCUCUCCUUCAUAGACGUCGAUCAAAACCCCAGGAUGGUUGUCGGAGUAAGUAGAGAAGGAAGGAAAACCCGAGAAAAAGGAUUAGUAUUGGUUCAGAAUCAGAGAAGGAAGACUGGAAGAUAGAGACGCGAUGGACUGACGUCAUUUUGAUUUUCUGGUUGAGUGUUUUUGACCAUGUCUUGGUGCACGAUUGAGUCUGACCCAGGGGUCUUUACUGAGCUUAUUUAGCAGACGCAAGUAAAAGGUGUGCAGGUAUGGGUUCUUUGAUGCCUCUGUUGUAGGUCCUUCUCUUGCUGCUGUGAUCAUAAUUUGUUGCCAGUCCAAUGGUACUGAUGUGUGUGUCUUCUCUCAUUUGACUAAGUUCAACUUAUUUAUAUAGCUAUGCAACUAGACAAGCACAAUCCAAAUGUGUUGGUUAUGAACACUUUAAGAUGUUGUAGGCAAUCUGAUAAUUCUGGCAAAAAUGAAGGUUAUUUUAUAUCUUUUGUCCUUAAAUCAUAUCCAGACAUCUAGUAUGAUGUUAUGUUUAUGUCUUAUUUGGAAUUGGAACCUUUAAUUUCUCAUAUGUUCUGCAUUGAUGUGGGUCAUGGCCACCUUCAACUUUUAUGCUUAUGUUCAGUCCCUUUUUCGGCAAUGGGAGGUCCUUUAUUUUUCCUUUUGCUUCAUUCUCUCAUUUAAUGCGAGGUUCCGUCCAAAUUUUAUUGAUAUGGUGGUGAGUACUAUUGCUUCAUUCUCUCAUUUAAUCAGCAUUUAGGACCUGAGUUUGGUGGUGAAGCAUGUUAGUUAUCUUCAAUUUAGAGGAAAGAACUAACACCUAGUACUGGUUUUGAUUUACUAUCAAGAUCAGAGGAGAAAGUGAAGCUUCUAAAGAGUGCUUGGACUAAAGCUGAACAAGAGGAAGAGAGGCAAGCUAUGGGAUUCUCAUGUUAAAGUAGAUUAAGUGAUAAGAAAGUUUCUGCAGUUGAUCAACUUAAUGAUCGUUGUGAAUUUUUUUUGUUUGUUUCUUUUGUAUUAUAAUACUUUGGGUGUAUAAAACUUGGAUUGGAUGCAUGAAUUUAAAGCCGUCAUGUGGUCGAAUUGAUUGACAGAUUUUCUUCGUAGUUCA